RNAcentral lists this ribosomal RNA (365 nucleotides) under uncultured bacterium. RNAcentral describes it as "bacterial SSU rRNA". It matches the Rfam family "Bacterial small subunit ribosomal RNA", at positions 28 to 380 of the family's 1533-position model. The record is from RNAcentral.
GAUUAACGCUGGCGGCGUGCCUAACACAUGCAAGUCGAACGGACCUUUAUUUUUGAGAAAUCUCUACCUCGAGGAGUCUCAUAAGUAAUGGUUAGUGGCGGACGGGUGAGUAACACGUUGGUACCUGCCCUCUAGUGGGGAAUAACUGGACCGAAAGGUCGGCUAAUACCGCAUGUGAUCUUCGGAUCAAAGCAUUUAUGCGCUAGAGGAGGGGCCUGCGUCUGAUUAGCUUGUUGGAGUGUAAUGGACUACCAAGGCGACGAUCAGUAGCUGGUUCGAGAGGAUGACCAGCCACACUGGGACUGAGAUACGGCCCAGACUCCUACGGGAGGCAGCAGUGAGGAAUCUUCCACAAUGGAACGAAA